AGGCUGAUGAUGCCCAAGAGUCCAUAUCGACGGCAUUGUUUGGCACCUCGAUGUCGGCUCAUCGCAUCCUGGGGCUGAAGGCGGUCCCAAGGGUUAGGCUGUUCGCCUAUUAAAGCGGUACGCGAGCUGGGUUCAGACCGUCGUGAGACAGGUUGGUCGUAAUCCGCUGCAGGCGUCGAUUUUUGAGAAGAUUUGUUCCUAGUACGAGAGGACCGGAAUGA
Molecule: ribosomal RNA, 221 nt
Filed under: Isochrysis galbana
Lineage: Eukaryota; Haptophyta; Isochrysidales; Isochrysidaceae
Description: partial Bacterial large subunit ribosomal RNA
Rfam family: Bacterial large subunit ribosomal RNA
Source: RNAcentral